GUCUUUUUGAUUAUAAUUUAAAGUCUAACCUGCCCAAUGAGGAAUUGAAUGGCCGCGGUAAUUUGACCGUGCAAAGGUAGCAUAAUCAUUAGUUUUUUAAUUGAAAGCUGGAAUGAACGGUUGGACGAGAAAAUAACUGUCUCAGUUUAAUUGAAUAUAGAAUUUUAUCUAUAAGUAAAAAAGCUUAUAUGAUUUUAAAAGACGAGAAGACCCUAUAGAGUUUUAUAUUUUAUUGUAUUGAUUAAUUUUAGUAUGUUUAUAUUUUUAAUAUAAUAAGGUAUUUUGCUGGGGCAGUGGAAAAAUUUAAUAAACUUUUUUUAUUAUCAUUACAUUAGUCUAUGAUUAAAUGAUCCAUUUUUUAUGAUUAUAAGAUUAAAUUACCUUAGGGAUAACAGCGUAAUUUUUUUUUAGAGUUCUUAUCGAAAAAAGAGUUUGCGACCUCGAUGUUGGAUUAAAAUUAACUUUUGGUGUAGGGGCUAGAAGGUUAGGUCUGUUCGACCUUUAAAAUUUUACA
This 514-nucleotide ribosomal RNA is filed under the name Anomala trapezifera. RNAcentral's name for it is "partial 16S ribosomal RNA". It matches the Rfam family "Bacterial large subunit ribosomal RNA", at positions 1819 to 2600 of the family's 2925-position model. The record is from RNAcentral. Lineage: Eukaryota; Metazoa; Arthropoda; Insecta; Coleoptera; Scarabaeidae. RNAcentral also lists the same sequence under 1 other name.